RNAcentral lists this microRNA (24 nucleotides) under Bombyx mori (domestic silkworm). Its description in RNAcentral is "bmo-miR-3319". Lineage: Eukaryota; Metazoa; Arthropoda; Insecta; Lepidoptera; Bombycidae. The record is from miRBase by way of RNAcentral.
ACAAGCUAGCAACCCGGCUCCGUG